UUAGGAAUAUUGGACAAUGGGCGCAAGCCUGAUCCAGCCAUGCCGCGUGAGUGAUGAAGGCCUUCGGGUUGUAAAACUCUUUAGCCGAUGAUUAUAAUGACUGUAGUCGGAAAAUAAGCCCCGGCUAACUUCGUGCCAGCAGCCGCGGUAAUACGAAGGGGGCGAGCGUUAUUCGGAAUCACUGGGCGUAAAGCGUGCGUAGGCGGUUUAGUAAGUUAGGAGUGAAAAGCCCAGGGCUUAACCUUGGAAUUGCUCUUAAAACUACUAGACUUGGAUCUCGGAGAGGAUAGCGGAAUUUCCAGUGUAGCAGUGAAAUGCGUAGAUAUUGGAAGGAACACCAGUGGCGUAAGCGGCUAUCUGGACGAGUAUUGACGCUGAGGCACGAAAAGCGUGGGGAUCAAACAGGAUUAGAUACCCUGGUAGUCCACGCCGUAAACGAUGUGUGCUUGUCGCUGGGGAGUUCACUCUUCGGUGACGCAGCUAACGCGUUAAGCACACCGCCUGGGGAAAGUACGGCCGCAAGGUUAAAAACUCAAAAGGAAUUGACGGGGUCAUAGCUGUUUCCUG
Molecule: ribosomal RNA, 567 nt
Filed under: uncultured bacterium
Lineage: Bacteria
Description: partial 16S ribosomal RNA
Rfam family: Bacterial small subunit ribosomal RNA
Source: RNAcentral